AUCCAGCUGGCGAGUCCCAAAUAGGACCAAAUGCGCGUCAAACUGGAU
RNAcentral lists this non-coding RNA (48 nucleotides) under Schistosoma mansoni. Lineage: Eukaryota; Metazoa; Platyhelminthes; Trematoda; Strigeidida; Schistosomatidae. The record is from RNAcentral.